GCCCGGGUGGCGAAACUGGUAAACGCGGCGCCCUUAAAAGGCGCUACCGCACUGCGGUUCGCGGGUUCGAGUCCCGCCCCGGGCA
RNAcentral lists this transfer RNA (85 nucleotides) under Solirubrobacterales bacterium 70-9. RNAcentral describes it as "tRNA-Leu". It matches the Rfam family "tRNA". From Rfam's summary of the family: Transfer RNA (tRNA) molecules are approximately 80 nucleotides in length. The record is from RNAcentral. Lineage: Bacteria; Bacillati; Actinomycetota; Thermoleophilia; Solirubrobacterales.